Molecule: long non-coding RNA, 727 nt
Filed under: Lupinus angustifolius (narrow-leaved blue lupine)
Lineage: Eukaryota; Viridiplantae; Streptophyta; Magnoliopsida; Fabales; Fabaceae
Description: long non-coding RNA (LANG_LNC002055)
Source: RNAcentral
GAAGUUAUCAAUAAUUUCAUCAUUAAACAAAAGAUACAAAUUACAAGGAAGAGAUCACCCUACUAUUUCGUUGUAGACCACCAAUUAUUUUACAUAUGUAAUCUACGUUAUUCAUAAAGGAUGAUAAAUCACACCAUAAUACUACUGGAUAUAAUACGAUACAUAAAAACAAAACACGCGAUCUUAUUUAGUUACAUUCAUGCAUAUCUUCUCUUUCUCAUCUACACAUCAUACUUAGUUGGGUUUUAUUACUUGGGUUCAAUAUCAUUAAUCACCAAAUUGUAUCCACUUACAUUCGGUCUAGGUUCAAAUCAUUAUUCAGUGGAUUAUACCUAGUUGCAUUUGGCCUAGGUUCAAAUUCAGUGUUCACUGGAUUAUAUCCGCUGAUAUUUGGUCUAGGUUCAAAAUCAUUAUUCAGUGGAUUAUACUUAGUUGCACUUGGCCUAGGUUCAAAUUCAGUGCUCACUGGAUUAUACCGAGUGGCACUUGGUUUAGAUUCAAAAUCACUAUUCACUGGAUUAUACCUGGUGGCACUUGGCCUAGGUUCAAAUUCAGUGUUCACUGGAUUAUACCGAGUGACACUUAGUCUAGGUUCAAAAUCACUAUCCACUGGAUUAUACCUAGUGGCACUCGGCCUAGGUUCAAAUUCAGUGUUCACUGGAUUAUACCGAGUGACACUUAGUCUAGGUUCAAAAUCACUAUUCAUUGGAUUAUACUUAGUGGCACU